AGAGAGAGAGAUCUAUAGCGAAAAACCUUACCGCAGAGGAAGAAUCAGUGUUUGCUGCCUUUAAGUACCUGGGGCUGUGCCGAUAACAAAAGGGGGUUAAGUAGUGGGGGUAGGGGGCGGGGGGCAGAUGGGGGCUGGUAAUGCAGCUGGGGAGAUGCCAAAAAAAGCAGAACAAAACACGUUUUCGUUUUGUCUGCACCAGCCUGCGACAGAGAGCGAGCGAGCGAGAUGCACAGUGAAAACGCUGCUGAGCUCGGAAACGGGCCUACAGCCACUUUGGAAGCCGCGGCAAUAAUUCUCUCCCUUCCUCGCAUUCACCCUGCCCACUCUGGCUCGACUGCCAAGUCGGAGAGUUGGCACGGCUUCCCAGGGAGCGCGGAACAAAGCCGUCACCCAUCCCUGAACAGGCGCUGACGGCAGGCUAAGUGACAGGCGCAUCUUCUGCAUGUUAAUCCACGGGGUGAGGAGGAGAGAGCAAAAUCCACCGGCUCCCCCGCCACCGGCCACUCCUUUCCAACCCAAGCCCCGGUGGGCCCCGUGCACCGUCCGCAAGGCAGGAGCCCUGGAGAAACAGAGCUGGCCCGGCAAGUCAAACAAACAAGCAAGCAAGCGCAGGAUUUAAAUACAAACCACCGCCCGACCCAGCAGCACCCUGGCAAACAAGGCCGCUCGGCAUCUGCUGUACCUGUUCCCGCUGCCUUCAUCUUGCCUUGGAACCGUGACAAGAGAGAAGCGUCGCCUCUGGUGGGCUCUCGCAGCCUCGGGUCUGCAACCCUGUGCAGGAAGUUGGCACCGAUCCCAGCGCCUGCAUUAUUCCAGUCCACAAGCGGGAAGGAGUUUACAGUACAGACUCUCUCUUGAGGCUGCCAGCAGGAAAGAGAGGGAGUUCUCACAAUCGAACAGCGAGAAGAGCAAGGAGAAAUUAACAUCCAAUUAGCGCCGUGUUUAACGAGGGAGACAGAGACAGCCGUUGUUUUAUUGCCCUGUUCUUUUCAUUCGGAUCUGACAGGCAGUGCGGCAGGCACCCCCGGCUGCAGUGACGUCAUUUUCCCCCCCUUUUUCCUCCUCCAAGUUUCCCAGAGGUGGAUCGUCAACUCAGCUGGGGAAAUUUGUUACUUUGUUGCAUUAAAAAUUAUUCUCCCUCCUCCACACCC
This is a long non-coding RNA of Dermochelys coriacea (leatherback sea turtle), 1154 nucleotides long. RefSeq lists it as uncharacterized. The transcript has 2 exons. The record is from RefSeq and is a predicted model, not a curated record. Lineage: Eukaryota; Metazoa; Chordata; Testudines; Dermochelyidae.